This 440-nucleotide ribosomal RNA is filed under the name uncultured bacterium. Its description in RNAcentral is "partial 16S ribosomal RNA". It matches the Rfam family "Bacterial small subunit ribosomal RNA", at positions 338 to 795 of the family's 1533-position model. The record is from RNAcentral.
CCUACGGGAGGCAGCAGUGGGGGAUAUUGCACAAUGGGGGAAACCCUGAUGCAGCGACGCCGCGUGGGUGAAGAAGUGCCUCGGUACGUAAAGCCCUGUCAGCAGGGAAGAAAAUGACGGUACCUGACGAAGAAGCCCCGGCUAACUACGUGCCAGCAGCCGCGGUAAUACGUAGGGGGCAAGCGUUAUCCGGAUUUACUGGGUGUAAAGGGGGCGUAGACGGCGGUGCAAGUCAGGAGUGAAAGCCCGGGGCCUAACCCCGGGACUGCUUUGGAAACUGCGUGGCUGGAGUGCAGGAGGGGCAGGCGGAAUUCCUGGUGUAGCGGUGAAAUGCGUAGAUAUCAGGAGGAACACCGGUGGCGAAGGCGGCCUGCUGGACUGUAACUGACGUUGAGGCUCGAAAGCGUGGGGAGCAAACAGGAUUAGAUACCCGAGUAGUA